Molecule: ribosomal RNA, 250 nt
Filed under: uncultured bacterium
Lineage: Bacteria
Description: partial 16S ribosomal RNA
Rfam family: Bacterial small subunit ribosomal RNA
Source: RNAcentral
UACGGAGGGUGCGAGCGUUAAUCGGAAUUACUGGGCGUAAAGGGUGCGUAGGUGGUUUGAUAAGUUAUCUGUGAAAGCCCUGGGCUCAACCUGGGAAGGCCAGAUAAGACUGUGAGACUCGAGUACAGGAGAGGGCAGUGGAAUUUCCGGUGUAGCGGUGAAAUGCGUAGAGAUCGGAAGGAACACCAGUGGCGAAGGCGGCUGCCUGGCCUGAUACUGACACUGAGGCACGAAAGCGUGGGGAGCAAAC